UACGUAGGGUGCAAGCGUUAAUCGGAAUUACUGGGCGUAAAGCGUGCGCAGGCGGUUGUGCAAGACAGAUGUGAAAUCCCCGGGCUUAACCUGGGAACUGCGUUUGAAACUGGAAGGCUUGAGUGUGGCAGAGGGGGGUGGAAUUCCACGUGUAGCAGUGAAAUGCGUAGAGAUGUGGAGGAACACCGAUGGCGAAGGCAGCCCCCUGGGCUAACACUGACGCUCAUGCACGAAAGCGUGGGGAGCAAACAGG
Molecule: ribosomal RNA, 253 nt
Filed under: uncultured bacterium
Lineage: Bacteria
Description: partial 16S ribosomal RNA
Rfam family: Bacterial small subunit ribosomal RNA
Source: RNAcentral